UUGAACGGAGGUUUGCAGGCUUGCCUGCAAAUUUUAGUAGCAAACGGGUGAGUAACACGUGAUAAUUUGCCCCUUAGAGCGGAAUAGCCUCUGGAAACGGAGAGUAAUACCGCAUAAUCCGAUAUAUAGGGAUGUAUAUCGGCAAAGAUUUAUCGCUAAGGGAUUUGCUCGCGCCAGGUUCGUUGUUGGUAGGGUAAAGGCCUACCAAGCUAUAACCUGUAGCUGGUCUGAGAGGACGAUUAGCCACACUGGGACUGAGACACGGCCCAGACUUC
This 275-nucleotide ribosomal RNA is filed under the name uncultured bacterium. Its description in RNAcentral is "partial 16S ribosomal RNA". It matches the Rfam family "Bacterial small subunit ribosomal RNA", at positions 62 to 339 of the family's 1533-position model. The record is from RNAcentral.